GACGAACGCUGGCGGCGUGCUUAACACAUGCAAGUCGAACGCUGAAGACCUGGCUUUUGUUGGGUUGGCUGAGUGGCUAACGGGUGAGUAACACGUGAGUGACCUGCCCUCUUCUUUGGGAUAACGCCCGGAAACGGGUGCUAAUACUGGAUAUUCACUGAUCUUCGCAUGUUGGUUGGUGGAAGGGUUUGUUCUGGUGGGGGAUGGCCUCGCGGCCUAUCAGCUUGGUGGUGGGGUGAUGGCCUACCAAGGCCUUGCCGGGUAGCCGGCCUGAGAGGGUGACCGGUCACAGUGGGACUGCGAUACGGCCCAGACGACUACGGGAGGCAGCAGUGGGGAAUAUUGCACAAUGGGCGAAAGCCUGAUGCAGCGACGCCGCGUGAGGGAUGGAGGCCGUCGGGUUGUAAACCUCUUUCGCUCAUGGUCAAGCCGCAACUGUGGGUUGUGGUGAGGGUAGUGGGUAAAGAAGCGCCGGCUAACUACGUG
This 486-nucleotide ribosomal RNA is filed under the name uncultured bacterium. Its description in RNAcentral is "partial 16S ribosomal RNA". It matches the Rfam family "Bacterial small subunit ribosomal RNA", at positions 28 to 507 of the family's 1533-position model. The record is from RNAcentral.